ACUCAUCAACCCUGUGAACAUACCUAAAACGUUGCUUCGGCGGGAACAGACGGCCCCGUAACACGGGCCGCCCCCGCCAGAGGACCCCUAACUCUGUUUAUAUUAUGUUUUUUCUGAGUAAACAAGCAAAUAAAUUAAAACUUUCAACAACGGAUCUCUUGGCUCUGGCAUCGAUGAAGAACGCAGCGAAAUGCGAUAAGUAAUGUGAAUUGCAGAAUUCAGUGAAUCAUCGAAUCUUUGAACGCACAUUGCGCCCGCCAGUAUUCUGGCGGGCAUGCCUGUUCGAGCGUCAUUACAACCCUCAGGCCCCCGGGCCUGGCGUUGGGGAUCGGCGGAAAGCCCCCUGUGGGCAUACGCCGUCCCCUAAAUACAGUGGCGGUCCCGCCGCAGCUUCCAUUGCGUAGUAGCUAACACCUCGCAACUGGAGAGCGGCGCGGCCAAGCCGUAAAACCCCCAACUUCUGAAUGUUGACCUCGAAUCAGGUAGGAAUACCCGCUGAACUUAAGCAUAUCAAUAAGCGGAGGAAAAGAAACCAACAGGGAUUGCCUCAGUAACGGCGAGUGAAGCGGCAACAGCUCAAAUUUGAAAUCUGGCUCUCGGGCCCGAGUUGUAAUUUGUAGAGGAUGCUUUUGGUGAGGUGCCUUCCGAGUUCCCUGGAACGGGACGCCAUAGAGGGUGAGAGCCCCGUCUGGUUGGACACCGAUCCUCUGUAAAGCUCCUUCGACGAGUCGAGUAGUUUGGGAAUGCUGCUCUAAAUGGGAGGUAUAUGUCUUCUAAAGCUAAAUACCGGCCAGAGACCGAUAGCGCACAAGUAGAGUGAUCGAAAGAUGAAAAGAACUUUGAAAAGAGAGUUAAAAAGUACGUGAAAUUGUUGAAAGGGAAGCGCUUGUGACCAGACUUGGGCUUGGUUGAUCAUCCGGGGUUCUCCCCGGUGCACUCUUCCGGCUCAGGCCAGCAUCAGUUCGCCCUGGGGGAUAAAGGCUUCGGGAAUGUGGCUCUCUCCGGGGAGUGUUAUAGCCCGCUGCGUAAUACCCUGUGGCGGA
RNAcentral lists this small RNA (1043 nucleotides) under Fusarium solani. RNAcentral's name for it is "eukaryotic LSU rRNA". The stretch from base 469 to 1043 matches the Rfam family "Eukaryotic large subunit ribosomal RNA", at positions 1 to 587 of the family's 3401-position model. The record is from RNAcentral. Lineage: Eukaryota; Fungi; Ascomycota; Sordariomycetes; Hypocreales; Nectriaceae.